RNAcentral lists this ribosomal RNA (341 nucleotides) under uncultured soil bacterium. RNAcentral's name for it is "bacterial SSU rRNA". It matches the Rfam family "Bacterial small subunit ribosomal RNA", at positions 26 to 396 of the family's 1533-position model. The record is from RNAcentral.
AGAACGAACGCUGGCGGCAUGCCUAAUACAUGCAAGUCGAACGAACACUUCGGUGUUAGUGGCGCACGGGUGCGUAACGCGUGGGAAUCUGCCCUUGGGUUCGGAAUAACAGUUGGAAACGACUGCUAAUACCGGAUGAUAUCGAAAGAUCAAAGAUUUAUCGCCCAGGGAUGAGCCCGCGUAGGAUUAGCUAGUUGGUGAGGUAAAGGCUCACCAAGGCGACGAUCCUUAGCUGGUCUGAGAGGAUGAUCAGCCACACUGGGACUGAGACACGGCCCAGACUCCUACGGGAGCAGCAGUAGGGAAUAUUGGACAACGGGCGCAAGCCUGAUCCAGCAAUG